UGGGGAAUAUUGCACAAUGGGCGAAAGCCUGAUGCAGCAACGCCGCGUGAGUGAUGAAGGCCUUCGGGUUGUAAAGCUCUGUCUUUUGGGACGAUAAUGACGGUACCAAAGGAGGAAGCCACGGCUAACUACGUGCCAGCAGCCGCGGUAAUACGUAGGUGGCAAGCGUUGUCCGGAUUUACUGGGCGUAAAGGAUGCGUAGGCGGAUUUUUAAGUGAGAUGUGAAAACCCUAAGCUUAACUUGGGGACUGCAUUUCAUACUGGAAAUCUAGAGUGCGGGAGAGGAGAAUGGAAUUCCUAGUGUAGCGGUGAAAUGCGUAGAGAUUAGGAAGAACACCAGUGGCGAAGGCGAUUCUCUGGACCGUAACUGACGCUGAGGCAUGAAAGCGUGGGUAGCAAACAGGAUUAGAUACCCUGGUAGUCCACGCCGUAAACGAUGAGUACUAGGUGUAGGAGGUAUCGACCCCUUCUGUGCCGUAGUUAACACAAUAAGUACUCCGCCUGGGAAGUACGAUCGCAAGAUUAAAACUCAAAUGAAUUGACGGGGUCAUAGCUGUUUUCC
This 562-nucleotide ribosomal RNA is filed under the name uncultured bacterium. RNAcentral's name for it is "partial 16S ribosomal RNA". It matches the Rfam family "Bacterial small subunit ribosomal RNA", at positions 355 to 938 of the family's 1533-position model. The record is from RNAcentral.